GCUGGGUCUGGGCUAAUGUUGUCUAGCUGGGUCUGUGUCUGGGCUAAUGUUGUUGUCUAGCUGGGUCUGGGCUAAUGUUGUUGUCUAGGUGGGUCUGGGUUGAUGUUGUUGUCUAGGUGGGUCUGGGUUAAUGUUGUUGUCUAGGUGGGUCUGGGUUAAUGUUGUUGUCUAGGUGGGUCUGGGCUAAUGCUGUUGUCUAGGUGGGUCUGGGCUAAUGUUAUUGUUUAGGUGGGUCUGGGCUAAUGCUGUUGUCUAGGUGGGUCUGGGCUAAUGUUAUUGUUUAGGUGGGUCUGGGUCUGGGCUAAUGAUGUUGUUUAGGUGGGUCUGGGUCUGGGCUAAUGAUGUUGUUUAGGUGGGUCUGGGUCUGGGCUAAUGAUGUUGUUUAGGUGGGUCUGGGUCUGGGCUAAUGAUGUUGUUUAGGUGGGUCUGGGUCUGGGCUAAUGAUGUUGUUUAGGUGGGUCUGGGUCUGGGCUAAUGAUGUUGUUUAGGUGGGUCUGGGUCUGGGCUAAUGUUAUUGUUUAGGUGGGUCUGAGCUAAUGUUGUCUAGCUGGGUCUGGGCUAAUGCUGUUGUCUAGCUGGGUCUGGGCUAAUGCUGUUGUCUAGGUGGGUCUGGGUCUGGGCUAAUGUUGUUGUUUAGGUGGGUCUGGGUCUGGGCUAAUGUUGUUGUCUAGCUGGGUCUGGGCUAAUGUUGUUGUUUAGGUGGGUCUGGGCUAAUGUUGUUGUUGUUUAGGUGGGUCUGGGCUAAUGUUGUUGUUGUUGUUUAGGUGGGUCUGGGUUAAUGUUGUUGUUUAGGUGGGUCUGGGUUAAUGUUGUUUUUGUCUGUUUAUGGUGGGUCUGGGCUAAUGUUGUUGUUUAG
Molecule: long non-coding RNA, 856 nt
Organism: Oncorhynchus tshawytscha (Chinook salmon)
Lineage: Eukaryota; Metazoa; Chordata; Actinopteri; Salmoniformes; Salmonidae
Source: Ensembl